Molecule: ribosomal RNA, 329 nt
Filed under: uncultured eukaryote
Lineage: Eukaryota
Description: partial 18S ribosomal RNA
Rfam family: Eukaryotic small subunit ribosomal RNA
Source: RNAcentral
CCCUUAGAUGUUCUGGGCCGCACGCGCGCUACACUGAUGCAUUCAACGAGUCUAAAACCUGCUCUGAUAGGGGUGGGUAAUCUUUUGAAUGUGCAUCGUGAUUGGGAUAGAUGAUUGCAAUUUUUCAUCUUCAACGAGGAAUGCCUAGUAAACGCAAGUCAUCAGCUUGCAUUGAUUACGUCCCUGCCCUUUGUACACACCGCCCGUCGCUCCUACCGAUUGAAUGAUCCGAUGAAUAUCAUGGAUUGAGGAUGCAAGCAGUUUCGCCUGUCUUCAUCUUCGAGAAGUGAAGUAAAUCUUAUCAUUUAGAGGAAGGAGAAGUCGUAACA